RNAcentral lists this ribosomal RNA (492 nucleotides) under uncultured bacterium. Its description in RNAcentral is "partial 16S ribosomal RNA". It matches the Rfam family "Bacterial small subunit ribosomal RNA", at positions 29 to 507 of the family's 1533-position model. The record is from RNAcentral.
AGUGAACGCUGGCGGUAGGCCUAACACAUGCAAGUCGAACGGCAGCACAGUAAGAGCUUGCUCUUACGGGUGGCGAGUGGCGGACGGGUGAGGAAUACAUCGGAAUCUACUUUUUCGUGGGGGAUAACGUAGGUAAACUUACGCUAAUACCGCAUACGACCUACGGGUGAAAGCAGUGGAUCUUCGGACCUUGCGCGAUUGAAUGAGCCGAUGUCGGAUUAGCUAGUUGGCGGGGUAAAGGCCCACCAAGUCGACGAUCCGUAGCUGGUCUGAGAGGAUGAUCAGCCACACUGGAACUGAGACACGGUCCAGACUCCUACGGGAGGCAGCAGUGGGGAAUAUUGGACAAUGGGCGCAAGCCUGAUCCAGCCAUACCGCGUGGGUGAAGGAGGCCUUCGGGUUGUAAAGCCCUUUUGUUGGGAAAGAAAAGCAGCAGGUUAAUACCCCGCUGUUCUGACGGUACCCAAAGAAUAAGCACCGGCUAACUUCGUG